AGCAAUUCCGAGAGGUUUAGGGUCUGUAACGUCGUCCAAAACUGCAUGUAAGACUUUCUUGAAUUCUUCCAUCAAUUGCUUCUGUUUUCGUUAAUUAUGUUGAUUUUGUUGGCUGAAAUAGCUUGAUUUUGUUGAAGAUUUAUGGGUUUGGCUUUGCUUGUUUGCACCAAUACCUUUCACACAGUCUUUUUCCUUCAGGUCUUGAUUUGAUUUGCACUUUGUUUAUUUCCCCCAACUUGGAAGAAAAAAAAAGGACUAUGGGACGAAACAACUGUUAUCUAACAAACAUGGGUAUUGUGUAUAUCAUGGACUAUGGGACUGUUCUGUUAUUGACCAAAAUGAUAUGCUUAAUCCCCACUUAAAAGGUUAUUGACCAAAAUGAUUUGACCAAAUUACAGGAAUAAGAACUACUAUUUCUUUGCCAUAUAAUGAACCAUAAAAUGCCAGAGUUUAAAAUUUUAAAUAUGCUCAAGAGAUCAGAGAACCAAAAGAAAGAAUGCAUGCAACCUUUCAUUUACUGUAUUGUCUGUGACUCAAUACCAAACUUAAAUGUUUUUCUCCAAUAACCCCUCCUUUUACUGUGUAUAUCUGGCCUUUAUUGGUACUUUGUUAACGGAGUGACUGUAGUAUCAAAAAUACUGAUGGUCUGCUCUUUAUCCAGGAAAAAGGAAAAAGUUAAAAAGAAAGCUAAAUACUUUUAAAGUUUCAUGGCUGAGAAAAU
Long non-coding RNA from Juglans microcarpa x Juglans regia, 721 nucleotides. RefSeq lists it as uncharacterized. The record is from RefSeq and is a predicted model, not a curated record. NCBI's taxonomy places the organism in Eukaryota, Viridiplantae, Streptophyta, Magnoliopsida, Fagales, Juglandaceae. The transcript is spliced from 3 exons.